Molecule: long non-coding RNA, 1093 nt
Organism: Cyprinus carpio carpio
Lineage: Eukaryota; Metazoa; Chordata; Actinopteri; Cypriniformes; Cyprinidae
Source: Ensembl
CUUGUAUGGUAUAAGUUUUACUGAGUUAAUACAGCUGGAUAAAACAAAAAACUGUGUCCAUCUUUAUUUCAGGCUGCAAAGCAGAAAAAUGUGAUUAUUUUAAGGUUGGUGAUUCUUUUCUAUACCCACUGUAUGGGUGGCUUUAAUUAGAACAUUAUUCUGUGAGACACAACAUGAGAUCCUGGAGUAUCUACUGUCCCGAGGCCUGUAAAGCUUCACUGUGUUCUAUCAUAGCUAUUGAACACAGUCACAUUGCUGAUGACAGUUCAGGGUCAUAAUUAAUCAUCGUGGACAGACAUAUGGCUGGAGUUUUGCUCCCCUGCAUUUCAUUCUGGAUUUUAGAUUGCUGCAGAAGAAAGGCUGAAUGCUGAUAAAACAAGUGGUGAUGGGAACAAACAGGUUGUCAGGGACCUUAAACCUCAUCAUGCUGAACAGGGACCUCCAUUACAGGCCAGAAGAAGACGCACACUCGGAGCGGGCCACUGCAGGGAGCUGCAUUCAUCAGAUUCUACCUUCCCCAUUUUAUUUGUGUAUCUGCUCUUCCUUCUUCAGUCAGAUAAAAAGAGCCAUCGGGUGGACAGGCCAAGCCUGAUGAAUACAGAAGGGAAGGAGGAGGGUGGGAGAUUAGAGCCCUGGAGAGAGAGAGAGAAAGAGCUUGCUGGAAAACGAAAGAUAAGCGGAAAGAGGUGAACAGGAACACUUGUCACUGCAGAUGUUGGCCUUGAUUUCUCCGAGCGGGAGAGAAGAUGUUCACGAGUGUGGCUGGACAUAAUGUAGUGGCCAAAUCUGUAAGGUCCUCCUCUCAGAACUCUGUGACAGCGCUGUUCCCUGAAGAUAUGGAGUAACAUGUUCAUAAGGUCAGCAGACCAACAACAGUUCUUCUGCCAAAUAUUAAAGGAAUGUUCCGGACUCUAUACAAGUUAAGGUCAAUCAACGCCAUUUGGGGCAAUGUUGUUUACCACAAAAAUAAAUUUGACUUAAAAAAAUCAAUACUUUUACUUAAGUGUGGCUUUCAAGUAUUUUAUUUACCGCUGCGACAGUUAGCGUAAGCUACAGUAUAUAAAGUUUUAAAUAUAGAUAUUUUUCUUACACA